GCAUUUUAGUGGUGACUGGCUUUAGAUAGAUUGUCUUUGCCCUUCCUCCAGCCAGUUAACAGUUACAGACUUUACUGUUGAAUUUUUGUCCUCUAUCUCCAACUGCCUCUCACAGGUCACAGACACUUGAAAAAGUUUACAGUCACCUUCUUAUCUUAUCUAAUCUUGGAACAGAGAGACAGAGAGGCAGGCCGCAGGCCAUGAGCAAGAGUAAGCCUUCAAGAUCAUAACACUGAAAAUAUGGCGGUAGCAUUCUGUAACCUGAACCUGUUGUUGGGUCUAAAGAAACCCCAUGUAUCUUUCAUCAAGUAUAGUUAUGCUACAAGGUCUGAUCAGGGAGUUUUGUUUCCAAAUGCUUCUACAAGAUCGUGGUCGUUCUAUUAUAGCAGACAUGAAUUUUUCUUUAGGACUCAUAGAAGACAGGUAGAAAUCAAGCAAAAAAGCCAAAGUAGACUGAUUUUUUCUAAGAGCGCAACUCAAUACGCUGAUAAUACAUAUGGAGGAGAAAAAGAGGAAGAGAUUUCUAAAGUGACCUUGAUAUGGAGGGCAAUCAAAUUGCCAAUUUACUCGGUUGCUUUGGUCCCACUCACCUUUUUGGGAACAGGUAGGUGGUGCAGCUGCUUAUCUGCAGACCGGCACGUUUUCGGCUAGGCGCUAUGUUGUGCUCUUAGCUUCUUCAAUCCUUAUUAUAACAUGGCUCAAUUUAAGGUGAGUUCUAUAAAAAAAAGGGAAAAUAACAUUUUGGCUUGCAGCUGCUUUGGCUUAAAGCUUGUCUUUGGGUGGUAUAUGAUAGUGUUGAUGACUAACAAAUGUGCUAGAAAGUGACUCAUAUAAGUUGUUGAAUUAGGCAAUUAAGCUGUUGUAGGACCUUGACAGAUAUCUGAGGGAGGAAACUGACCAAUUUGGGACUUAAAUGGCAAUCUCGGUUGCAUUUCUUGUUCAGGGAUAUUGAAAGGAUUUUAAGCUAGAUGACGCUCAGAAUACUGAUUUGGCAAAUAAGUUCCUUCAAUUUUCUGUAUUUCAUUAUACUUUUUUGCGCCUUGAUCUUACUGUUGAAGCAUCUUGCACGAUUUUCACCUGCUAGUAAAUUCAAUUGUUUAUCUUAAAGUAGUGUGAUAGAACCAUUUAAAUUGGUUCCUUUGAGCUGUGUUAAAAUUCUUAUACAUUGUGCAUGGACAGCAACGAUGUUUAUGAUUUCGAUACAGGAGCAGAUAAGAACAAGAAAGAAUCAGUUGUGAACUUGGUUGGCAGGUAAGUUGUUCAACUAUCUGUUUAUGGUAAUUACGCCUUUGUUUCUUUGUUUUUAGUAAUAUAUUUUGAUAGAAAGCAGUAAGAUAUUUGGCUAAUUAUGCCCUGCAUCUGCUACGGCUAUGGAAAGCCGUUCAGGAAUCUUUGUUGCUGCUUAUUCAUCUCUUGCCCUUGGCUUCAUGGGACUGACAUGGACAUCUCUAGGGGCAGGAAGUGUGCAAGCAAUAUUAUUGCUAGCUUGUGCAAUUACUUGUGGUUAUAUAUAUCAGGUACAGAAAAUCUUACUGGCUUGGAGGUAUUUAAAAUAAUUUUGAAGCAUUGAUUCGUACUAUCUCAAGUCAUAUAAGCUGGUAAAUUUGAAUCCAAAUAUAGCGGAAUCGUCAUAUACUUUCUUUGGAUACACCUGUGAAAAUCUUGUGACGCCAUAUUGCCAUGUAAUAUUUUUUCUGCUUAGCAUUGUAUGUGUGCAGUGCCCGCCAUUUCGGCUAAGUUACCAAGGACUGGGUGAACCCCUGUGCUUUUCAGCAUUUGGCCCCUUUUCCACUACUGCAUUUUACUUACUGCUGGGGAGUUCAAGUGAGAUGACCAAUCUCCCAUUAACCGGUACAAUUCUUUCUGUGUCACUCCUUGUUGGCUUCACAACAUCGUUAAUCCUCUUUUGCAGUCACUUCCACCAAAUAGAAGGAGAUAUAGCUGUUGGAAAAAUAUCCCCUUUGGUUAGACUUGGCACUGAGAGAGGUUCUGAUGUGGUGAAAGUAGCAAUCUUGACACUCUACUCUCUUUUGUUUGCUUUUGGUCAGAGCAGGGCUCUUCCUUUUACCUGCGUUCUUCUCUGUGCCCUGACAAUACCUAUGGGAAAACUGGUAGUUACCUUUGUUGAAGAAAACCACAAGGACAAAGGGAAGAUUUUCAUGGCAAAGUAUUAUUGUGUGAGAUUACAUGCUUUAUUUGGGGCAGCAUUGGCAGCAGGACUGGUGGCAGCUAGAAUGAUCUCCUGAAGAUAUGUUCCAAGGCUGAUGUUUUCUUGAAUAUUAUCCAGCAAUUAAGUGAAAAAUCAAGCUGUUUAGUCAUUCCGUUUAACAUUUUUCACAGAUUUCGUUACUCAACAGCAUGUGUCAUUGGUCAGAAGAAAGAGAGUAUCUUUAUCUUCUGAAAAUAGUCUCACAUAAGAAGCACUAAACAGUAUCAUUUUACCAGAUAAGGGACCAAAUUAGUUAAUUUCGACAUUAUAUAAGAAUUUAGUAGUAAGUUAUUUUUAAAAUAGAAGAAUUAAAGUGUUAAAAAUA
Molecule: unclassified non-coding RNA, 2534 nt
Filed under: Hevea brasiliensis (rubber tree)
Lineage: Eukaryota; Viridiplantae; Streptophyta; Magnoliopsida; Malpighiales; Euphorbiaceae
Source: RNAcentral